UCCAGACCUGCGACCUCUCCAAUGU
This 25-nucleotide non-coding RNA is filed under the name Rattus norvegicus (Norway rat). The record is from RNAcentral. Lineage: Eukaryota; Metazoa; Chordata; Mammalia; Rodentia; Muridae.